GGACAUUUGGUAUGCAACACCCGUGAAAGGGUGGGUCAACCCUGGGCUGAGAACCAUUGCCCUAGUGUCUUAACCUAAAGCCAACUCAGAAUUCAACCCAUCCACAUGGAGAAUGACAAGACUGCAGCCAGCGGCCUCUAGUGGCCAUGACGGCUGAGUUCCACAUCAGCUACGGACCAGCUGGCUAUCUUGCUACAGAGGAAACUCAGAUCCACUCCAACACAGGCACACACAAGGUAAGGGACAGGAAAGACAUGGCUCUCAUGACACCAACAAGUUAAGUCCUUAGAUGUGACACAGCUGUCCUAAAACAUUCUCUUUUGAAUGUGUAUUUAUUAAGUUCUAAAACUGUGAAUGACUUAUUUCAAAAAUUCAAACUAAAGGAAAACCAGGAAGGUAGGAAUUUGGUGGGUUGAGGUUCUGACAGUCAAGUGUUGGCUUCACCUGGGCCGCCACUUUAUGUCUUUUACGCCAUGAAAAUGUCUUUUCAAAGCCGUGUUGUCAGCCCACGGGGAGUUCAGACAGGAGUCAUCGUCAUUCUCUUCCAGUUUCUGGAAAUAAACGCGCCUUACUCAGGACAACACUUCAGAGGUAGUUCAUAUAGACUGAGGGAAGGACCCGGGUCACUUCCUGCCACCCCAGCACGCCCCUGCCAGUAGUGGGACCCCCACGGUCUAACACUGGAGACAGCCUUGGAGAGCUGGAAGGCCUUCCCCAGCACUGUGUGGAUGGAUGGUAGAGGGCCCGGCCCGUGGGGGAGGCACGGGAUGCACGGUGUGCCCAGCUCCACUGCCCCUGCCACCCAAUGGCUACCUUGAGCUCCUCCUGUCUUCUGUGGUAGAACAGCAUCAGCUGCUUGUGUUCUUCACUGCUGAUGACAGGCUCCCGGGCUGGGGCACCCUGCCCUCUCUGCAAAGGCAAGGGCAGAGUCAACAGGGCGCCAAGACAUUCUCUUUGCAGGGACAUCAGAGAGUAACAGGUUUAUUCUAUAGCUGUCUCUGCUAACAGCUAAGAUGAUGGGCUGCUAAGCCACUGUGGGGUCGGGCAUGGGCAUGGAUAUGGCUGGCGCCCUGGAUUUGUAGUGGACACCAUCUAUAUCAUGGUCCAGCACAGACAGGGUGAUACUCAGAGUCAUAACUUAGGAAACAGAAAUCUCCAAGCCUUGUUCCCCAAAGUACGCAGUAAUGGUUCAGGAGUGUGCCCUAGACACCUUGGGUGAAUGGCUCCCCUUGCCUCCCACCCUUUUCUGCACACAACAGCAGCAGCCUGAAAAGCCCUAUAACCCCGGUGGGCUGCAUUGUCAGUAUGAGGACAUUUCUGUGUGUAGACCUGCUUUUCAGGUCGAAACAACAUAGAAAGGAAAUUUCUACUUUAAACUGGGCUAAAGUCCACACGGGGUCAGAGGACACAGGGUAAGGUCCAUGCGGGGUCAGAGGACACAGGGUAAGGUCCACGCGGGGUCAGAGGACACAGGGUAAGGUCCACGCGGGGUCAGAGGACACAGGGUAAGGUCCACGCGGGGUCAGAGGGACCCACAGUACUGACAUGGGAAGCAGAGGUGCUCACCUGCUGGAUCUUGACGAUGAUUUUGGUUUUCUCAUUUUUCCCCACAUAGUCAGAAAGCUUCUUUGUUCUUCUCAGCUCCUUGGCGGCCCACCACAGCUGUGCCUCCGACUCCUGGAUGACUUCGAGGGCUGCCUGUGGUCAGUUAUACAACACAGGAAGGGGCUUGAGGGGAAAGCCAUGCUCGUCCUACCCCAGCACCCGGAGCCUGGCUGCAGGCCCUUCACCCUGCUCUCCCCACCCUGCCCCACAUACCUGAGUUCCUGACAAAUCUUCUUUAUUUUCAAAUUCCAUCCGGAUAGGAUCGUAUGGUGGCAGCCCCAUGGGAUAAACGAUCAUGACCGCACCUCGAAGCUGGUCCAAGGCAUCUUUCACCAUCUCCAUGGUAACAAAGACUCCAGCUUCUACUUGUUUCUGAAAGUGCAUUGGGCGCCACUAUUGAGUCAAUAUCCUCCUGGCAGGUUACCCCAUGAGGACCUUGGCGGCCCUGCCAGCACAGCCACAGAAGGAACCAAAGAGCUGCUGCUUUCAGGGUGACUACCGUCCACUUCAGAACUGAGCUGAGGACACUGUGGCCCGGGCCAGACUGUGAGUGGCACCAGAGAGCCUGCAGUACUCAAGGCUGGGAGGAGGCAGUGAAGAGGCAGAGAGAGGCAGCUUCAGGGCAGGUGCAGCCCUGGGCAGCAGGUGGGAGAGGAAGGGGCAGCCAGAGCCUCAGUGUCAGGCAAAGGGGUGACAAUGUCCUAGGUAGAGAGAAUAUACUGGAGCUUGUCUCGCAAUGAGCACGCUGUGGACUGAGUUGGAGAGGCAUCAGCCAGAGGCUCUCAAGAGAACAGAGAGGGGUACAUGUAAAGAAUAGAGCUAAGGUUGGUCCCUGGUUCCUAGGACCCGGCAGAAGCCCUUUGGAUCACUGGUGCUGGGGAUGUGCUUUGUGACUUUGUAUGUGUACACAGCGCUUUGCCCACAUGCAUGUGUGUGCACCACGUGUGUGCUUGGUGCUUAUAAAGGAGGUCACU
RNAcentral lists this long non-coding RNA (2579 nucleotides) under Mus musculus (house mouse). RNAcentral describes it as "long non-coding RNA chr16:90925531-90928110". Lineage: Eukaryota; Metazoa; Chordata; Mammalia; Rodentia; Muridae. The record is from RNAcentral.